AGGACGAACGCUGGCGGCGUGCUUAACACAUGCAAGUCGAGCGGUAAGGCCUUUCGGGGUACACGAGCGGCGAACGGGUGAGUAACACGUGGGUGAUCUGCCCUGCACUUCGGGAUAAGCCUGGGGAAACUGGGUCUAAUACCGGAUAUGACCUCCUAUCGCAUGGUGGGUGGUGGAAAGAUUUUAUCGGUGCAGGAUGGGCCCGCGGCCUAUCAGCUUGUUGGUGGGGUAAUGGCCUACCAAGGCGACGACGGGUAGCCGACCUGAGAGGGUGACCGGCCACACUGGGACUGAGACACGGCCCAGACUCCUACGGGAGGCAGCAGUGGGGAAUAUUGCACAAUGGGCGAAAGCCUGAUGCAGCGACGCCGCGUGAGGAUGACGGCCUUCGGGUUGUAAACCUCUUUCAGCAGGACGAAGCGCAAGUGACGGUACCUGCAGAGAAAGCACCGGACUAACACGUGCCCGAAGCACGCCGC
Molecule: ribosomal RNA, 479 nt
Filed under: uncultured soil bacterium
Lineage: Bacteria
Description: bacterial SSU rRNA
Rfam family: Bacterial small subunit ribosomal RNA
Source: RNAcentral